This 253-nucleotide ribosomal RNA is filed under the name uncultured bacterium. RNAcentral describes it as "partial 16S ribosomal RNA". It matches the Rfam family "Bacterial small subunit ribosomal RNA", at positions 524 to 776 of the family's 1533-position model. The record is from RNAcentral.
UACGAAGGGGGCUAGCGUUGCUCGGAAUUACUGGGCGUAAAGCGCACGUAGGCGGCUUUCUAAGUCGGGGGUGAAAGCCUGUGGCUCAACCACAGAAUUGCCUUCGAUACUGUUUGGCUUGAGUAUGGUAGAGGUCAGUGGAACUGCGAGUGUAGAGGUGAAAUUCGUAGAUAUUCGCAAGAACACCAGUGGCGAAGGCGGCUGACUGGACCAUUACUGACGCUGAGACACGAAAGCGUGGGUAGCAAACAGG